This 253-nucleotide ribosomal RNA is filed under the name uncultured bacterium. Its description in RNAcentral is "partial 16S ribosomal RNA". It matches the Rfam family "Bacterial small subunit ribosomal RNA", at positions 524 to 776 of the family's 1533-position model. The record is from RNAcentral.
UACGGAGGGUGCGAGCGUUAAUCGGAAUUACUGGGCGUAAAGCGCGCGUAGGUGGCUUGGUCAGUCGGAUGUGAAAGCCCCGGGCUUAACCUGGGAACUGCAUUCGAUACUGCCAAGCUAGAGUGUGGUAGAGGGUGGCGGAAUUCCCGGUGUAGCGGUGAAAUGCGUAGAUAUCGGGAGGAACAUCAGUGGCGAAGGCGGCCACCUGGACCAACACUGACACUGAGGUGCGAAAGCGUGGGUAGCAAACAGG